Poecilia latipinna (sailfin molly) is the source of this 855-nucleotide long non-coding RNA. RefSeq lists it as uncharacterized. The record is from RefSeq and is a predicted model, not a curated record. Lineage: Eukaryota; Metazoa; Chordata; Actinopteri; Cyprinodontiformes; Poeciliidae. The transcript is spliced from 3 exons.
GUGAGCCGGAUGAGGGCGUCCCUCUCCGGAGACGGCCGGAGACGGCUGAUCUGUCGGAUGGCUUCCUCGCAGUAUCGCCGCGCCAAGCGGCGCUGCUGCAUCGCAUCCUGCCAUCUCCGUUUGUUACACAAGACUGCAGCAGAGGUGGACUAAGCAGCAAGACUUCCUCUGUGGGCUAAAAGGUUAAAGGCCCUCGACUGUUUCUCCUCACGCGUCUCUCUGACUCCAACAGAUGGAUCUAGUUAUCUGUGACCUCACUGUCCGACUGCUAAAAGACCUGAACCACUCUUUUUGAGUUUCACAGAGACAGAAAGAAAAAAAAAUAAAUAAGUCAUCUGAAAUUUACACAAAGGGAACAGCCUUGUCAGAGGUGGGAUGAUUAAACUACAAAGCACAGAACUAAGUAUAAUUAUUAUUGUGGUUAAAUACAUUCAGGCAGUAAAUGAGGUUUACCAAUUUGUGAGAGAGGCCAGAAAUAUCAAAAGCCAAGAAGUAAUGUGGUGAAGUACACAUUUUAAAAUAUAGGACUAUAUUUUAGAAAAUCUGUGUUACAAAUUCCUUUGUUUGUUUAGGUCAAUGCUGAACUUAGUCUUUUACAUCAGGCACCUUGUUGGGCAGCUAAGGGGCCUUCAGGAAUAUAUAUAUAUUGAGCCGUUAGCGGCAGUUAUUCUUCAGUUACAUUAACGGCUAUCUACCUUUGCGCUCCGGUAACGGUUGGUAAUUAUCCUUUCAAUAUGAAGCGCCGUAUUUCAGCGCUAAUUUUAGCUAACCCUGUUUAAUUCUGGCUUUUAAAUGACUGAAGUUGUAUGUUGAAAUUGAAUAACUGAAACACAACCAUUCAAAACCUCAAAUUAA